Molecule: long non-coding RNA, 171 nt
Organism: Etheostoma spectabile (orangethroat darter)
Lineage: Eukaryota; Metazoa; Chordata; Actinopteri; Perciformes; Percidae
Exons: 3
Source: RefSeq, a predicted model, not a curated record
UCAUUAAACGUUAAACUGAACUACAUAAGGCACGACCAAACGAGAUUUCGGACACUCAGUGAAAAUAUCGUUGCAUCAGUAGAUGUGCCGGCUAUUUGCGUGACAGAGGCAAGCGCGCCCAGCAUCAUGUAAACAAACCAAAACAAAAAAAACUUUUAAUACGUCCCUGAA